RNAcentral lists this ribosomal RNA (442 nucleotides) under uncultured bacterium. Its description in RNAcentral is "partial 16S ribosomal RNA". It matches the Rfam family "Bacterial small subunit ribosomal RNA", at positions 339 to 795 of the family's 1533-position model. The record is from RNAcentral.
CCACGGGGGGCAGCAGUGGGGAAUAUUGGGCAAUGGGCGCAAGCCUGACCCAGCAACGCCGCGUGAAGGAAGAAGGCUUUCGGGUUGUAAACUUCUUUUCUCAGGGACGAAGAAAGUGACGGUACCUGAGGAAUAAGCCACGGCUAACUACGUGCCAGCAGCCGCGGUAAUACGUAGGUGGCAAGCGUUAUCCGGAUUUACUGGGUGUAAAGGGCGUGUAGGCGGGGAAGCAAGUCAGAUGUGAAAACCACGGGCUCAACCUGUGGCCUGCAUUUGAAACUGUUUUUCUUGAGUACUGGAGAGGCAGACGGAAUUCCUAGUGUAGCGGUGAAAUGCGUAGAUAUUAGGAGGAACACCAGUGGCGAAGGCGGUCUGCUGGACAGCAACUGACGCUGAGGCGCGAAAGCGUGGGGAGCAAACAGGAUUAGAUACCCGGGUAGUC